UCAGUCUGGGUUUAAAAAUAUUUUCCUUGGUGGAUAGCUCUGGUGUGCAUUAGCUAAUGCUAGCACGUGGAUUAAUAUAUUUGUUAGCUAACGUUAAUCAGCAUUUUAAUAGCUUCAUAAUCGAGACAGCAACUUGCGUCUGCCUUAAAUAGUGUUACAAAAGAAACGCAAUUAAUGUUACAGUAAUGUAUUGCUUUUUGCUGUAAGGCAUUUUUUUAAUUUUACUAAAAUUUCUGUAAUAUACAUUCUCAGUAACCUGUUGCUGGAAUUUGAUGCACGAGAUUUUAUCAAGGCAGCCUGUGCAUGUGUGUGUAUGAGCCUUCAAUUCUGCUUUUGCACUGUUGAAAUGACCAGUGAGGUCUUUAUCACAGUAAUAAAUGCAACUAAUAUGUUGCUGUCUGUGUGCUAAAUGUUCACAUUUUUAUAGUCUACCUUAAUACUCACAUGUCCAUGUUUACAGGAAGUUAUUGCUCACUGUAAUCAUCAUUCCUGCCCAUGUAGUCUGUAAAGACAUCACCACAGUUGUCAUUUUUGUAUAAAUUCAUUCUAAAGUUUAGCUGAAGCUACUAUGAAUCAUCAGCUAAGCAUCUGCAUUAGACUAGUCAAAAGUGGAUAUCUUCUAAAGGUACACUGUUUUUUAGAGAUUUCUCUUCACUGCAUCCAUGGAGGGGGUAAUCAUUACAGUGACCAAUCCCUCAGCACUCAGAUAUAACAGUAAUGUUAAAGUGUACACGCAUAUGUGAGAAUUGUUUUAAGACACUCUUGAAAUAAUGUUUUUGUGUACUAAUGCCUGACCACACAAUAUAAUAGCAUGUGAUGUUAUGUAAAAUAUUGCUCAACUUUAUGUACAUUUGUAUGGUCAUAGAUCCUGUAUUCAACUUUUAAAAGUUGAACCUACCCUUUGCCAACUUUAACCAACUUAUAUUAAACCCAGAUUUGGAAUUUCCUGCCUUAGCUCAAGAAAAUUAAAUAAAGAAUAAUAAUAAUAAAGAUUUGCUAUAAGAAUAGAAUUACAGUGUUUAUAAUGAUACGCAAAUGAAGAACUAAACUAGGUGGAAGUACUGGUCUAACUGAAUAUUUAUUAUAUCUCAUUUGCAACUGCAUUUCUUUUCUUUUAGAGUUUCCUGGGAUUGUUGCCUCACUGAGAGGGCUUAGAGGUCACGAAAACCUCAAAGGACCAGCUGGACCCUCACAAGCUCAAUGUGCUUAGUUAUGUCUGGCUCCCGCACGCGAUCACUGUUUUUGCUCUCACUACAUCUCAACGGGAUGCUGUGUGAUAAAGCAGUUUCCAAAUCCCAUAGUGUCUGCAGUCGCAGAAAAUGCAACGAGUCCUACUCAAAGUCAGUACCUUCCACUCCAAGGAUAAGGAUUGUGACAUUUUUCUGUUUCAGCUUGGUUCCACCAUUUGUACUGUAUGCUUGUGACGGAGUACCUUCACUACAGUUGAAUAAGCGCUUGGACUGCCAUACCAACAAGCCUGGCUCUUUGGCGUUGCUGUCAAAGUUGCUUGUUUGGUAACCUGUCGACCUGUGUUCAAAUCUGGGCAGGGUGACUGCUCUUGCCUUUGGCCGCAUAUGGUGUCAGGAGUGGGACGGCUUGCCAUGAGGUCAUCUGAGUCAGGCCCAGUGUCCGAGCCGUAUGAGGGACCCCAUGGGUAUUUUGGGCAAGAUGUGAU
Long non-coding RNA from Micropterus dolomieu (smallmouth bass), 1675 nucleotides. RefSeq lists it as uncharacterized. Lineage: Eukaryota; Metazoa; Chordata; Actinopteri; Centrarchiformes; Centrarchidae. The record is from RefSeq and is a predicted model, not a curated record. The transcript has 3 exons.